AAAAAAAAAUUAGACAUCCUAGAAAUAACAAGCUGCUGAUAAAUAUGGCCGUCCGACAUUACUGUUAACGGAGUCUGUUCAUAAGCACUAAACCCUGCGGUUCAGCCUCGUUAUAGGGUGUUAUUGACAAGUUUUAAAACUGUUAUGUUUAUUUACGUUUGUUUACAUUAACAAAUAUGACUACAACUGCAUCAUACGCAACAGAAUGGAAUCUCGAAUCAUCUAUAAGCAGAAGAUCGUCAACAGAAACUGUGUUUAGCAUACAAGAUAGAGAGACUGAUAUUGCGCGCGAUACAAGCGAUACAGAACCGUUCGAAACAGACGGCGAGGGCAUAGAGUACGAGCCGGUCACCGCGUCCGAGCACGAGGCGCCUAUCGAGGAGACCUCCGCCGCCAGCGAGGACGAAAUCAUCAAAACCGAAGUGAUCGAGGUGGCCAUAGGCGACGACGGGGACUUGCAACUAGCCGACUCCGAGUUCACUGAUCAAAACGAAAGCGAUACCGUGUAUAGACGUCACGUAUAUUUGCGUUGCGCGCACUGUGAUGGCAAAAACACCAACCCCGUCUACAGAUAUUGUUACAAAUGUUUCAUUAUGCGUAAAAACUUUUUCCCGCCAAGGCCAAGGAGGAAUAGAAAAAAAUCUAAAGGAAAGUCUUCAGCGAGCUCAACGACUACGAGCGUUACGUGUUCUAUAGGCGGGCUCAGUCAGGGCACGGAUGUCGGGUACUACUCGGGCGCGACCGCGCUGUCCGGCGGCUCCAGCCAGGCCGAGCCCCGCGCGGCGCUGAAGCGGCGCGCCUCCUCCGACCUCUCCCACUCGAGCAAGAAGCCGCGCUGCCCCUCCGACAGCGGCACCGAAGUCGGCACCGACACCGACGACGAGCCUGUGCAACCCCUCAUGAAAACGAAAUUGAGCAGGAAAGUGGAUGAUAGUGUGUCAUCCCAGGUCAUCAGUGCGUUGCAAUCUCACUGAUCGUAACGCAGCAUGAGCAUGGUUUCACCAAGGCGCUUACCUUGUUGAGUGACAACCUGUACUUUGUCCUGGCACUUCAAUGUGACCACAUAACGUAUGGUAAGUACUCAGUAGGGUCACAAUAUUUGAAUAUCGACCACACUGUAGUUAUUUGAUGUGGGAAUAUUUUUGCAUCAGGCUAGAUAUCGAACACCGUGCGAUGGUGAUGAACUAGCCAUAGUAGCUAGUUCCAAUGAGUCGCAUUCCGGGUUCACUCGGCAUAAUUCUAGUGACCGGCGAGGAAUGUCAUUCCUUACUUACAUUGCUGGACUGCAAUGUAUACUCUUAACACUGGAACACUAUUGUGUUCUGAAUGAAGAAUGUUUCAGUCAAUUGCUGAGAAUGAUGAGACUUCACUGCUAAUGUCUCGGAAUGGCGAACGCCGUUCAGUAGCAUGCAGAACUUUAUAAUUAUAAGUUCUUUGUGAAAUUGCUACUGUUUAUUGGCAGUCACCGCUCGCCAUCAGUUCAGCGAAUUGACCAGUCAUUCAGCUAUAAAAAACAUGAAUAUUACGUGCACAGAACUGGAUUCUAUAAAUUGUGAAAUAUUGCAUCUAAAUCCUUUCAGCUACACCACUAUCAAGGAAACAUGGGUUUUCAGUGAUCCCUCGAGCAGGUGCCAUGACAGUCCAUAAGGAAGCCUUCAGUUGCCAGCGACAACCAUGCCAAUGCGAUCAUUACUACAAUGCCAUUGACCGAUUCUGGGCACAAAUGCCUGAAAACUAGA
This 1739-nucleotide unclassified non-coding RNA is filed under the name Manduca sexta (tobacco hornworm). RNAcentral describes it as "e3 ubiquitin-protein ligase Mdm2, transcript variant X4". Lineage: Eukaryota; Metazoa; Arthropoda; Insecta; Lepidoptera; Sphingidae. The record is from RNAcentral.